This 478-nucleotide ribosomal RNA is filed under the name uncultured bacterium. Its description in RNAcentral is "partial 16S ribosomal RNA". It matches the Rfam family "Bacterial small subunit ribosomal RNA", at positions 28 to 523 of the family's 1533-position model. The record is from RNAcentral.
GACGAACGCUGGCGGCGUGCUUAACACAUGCAAGUCGAACGGUAAGGCCCUUCGGGGUACACGAGUGGCGAACGGGUGAGUAACACGUGGGUGAUCUGCCCUGCACUUCGGGAUAAGCGUGGGAAACUGGGUCUAAUACCGGAUAGGACUCCUGGCUUCAUGGUUGGGGGGGGAAAGCUUUUGCGGUGUGGGAUGGGCCCGCGGGCUAUGAGCUUGUUGGUGGGGUAAUGGCCUACCAAGGCGACGACGGGUAGCCGGCCUGGGAGGGUGACCGGUCACCCGGGGACUGAGAUACGGCCCAGACGCCUACGGGAGGCAGCAGUGGGGAAUAUUGCACAAUGGGCGCAAGCCUGAUGCAGCGACGCCGCGUGAGGGAUGACGGCCUUCGGGUUGUAAACCUCUUUCAGCUAUGACGAAGCGCAAGUGACGGUAGUAGCAGAAGAAGGACCGGCCAACUACGUGCCAGCCGCCGCGGUAA